Molecule: transfer RNA, 74 nt
Filed under: Pteropus alecto (black flying fox)
Lineage: Eukaryota; Metazoa; Chordata; Mammalia; Chiroptera; Pteropodidae
Rfam family: tRNA
About the family: Transfer RNA (tRNA) molecules are approximately 80 nucleotides in length.
Source: Rfam by way of RNAcentral
GGCUCCAUAGCGUAGUGGUUAGCACAUCUGCUUUACACACAGAAGGCCCUAGUUUCGUGCCCCAAGUGGAGCCA